RNAcentral lists this ribosomal RNA (499 nucleotides) under uncultured bacterium. RNAcentral's name for it is "partial 16S ribosomal RNA". It matches the Rfam family "Bacterial small subunit ribosomal RNA", at positions 28 to 507 of the family's 1533-position model. The record is from RNAcentral.
GACGAACGCUGGCGGCGUGCUUAACACAUGCAAGUCGAACGGGCCUGUCUUCUUUUUUGGGGGUGGGUUGAGUGGCGAACGGGUGAGUAUCACGUGAGUAACCUGCCCUUCGGUCCUGGAUAACCGCUUGAAAGGGCGGCUAAUACGGGGUGGUCCGGUUGGUCCGCAUGGGCUGGUCGGGAUAGAUUCACUGUUUUUGGUGUUUCGGCGGGGGAUGGGCUCGCGGCCUAUCGGCUUGUUGGUGGGGUGAUGGCCUACCAAGGCGGUGACGGGUAGCCGGGCUGAGAGGGUGGGCGGCCACACUGGGACUGAGAUACGGCCCAGACUCCUGCGGGAGGCAGCAGUGGGGGGUAUUGCACAAUGGGCGGAAGCCUGAUGCAGCGACGUCGCGUGAGGGAUGGAGGCCUUCGGGUUGUGAACCUCUGUUUCCGGUGGUGAAGGCCCUGUCCGUGUGGUGGGGUUGACGGUAGCCGGGGAUGAAGCGCCGGCUAACUACGUG